AUGGCGUCGUCGCAGGCGAAUCUGGACAAGAUGCAGCUCCGCCAGAGCUACCGCAACCUCUGGCACACCGACCUCCCCAACGCCAUCCAGGCCGACUUCCCCUACUGCUGCCUGUCGCUCUGGUGUGGGCCAUGCGUGUCAUACAUGCUUCGUAAAAGGGCUCUCUACAAUGACAUGUCAAGGUAUACGUGCUGUGCUGGCUAUAUGCCAUGUAGUGGCAAGUGUGGUGAAAGCAAAUGCCCAGAAUUCUGUCUUGCAACUGAGGUGUUUCUGUGCUUUGGUAAUUCAGUUGCUUCAACCCGCUUCUUGCUUCAAGACGAAUUCAACAUACAGACAACCAAGUGUGAUAACUGCAUCAUUGGUUUCAUGUUCUGCCUUCAACAAGUUGCUUGCAUCUUCUCAAUAGUUGCUGCUAUUGUCGGUAGUGAGGAACUUUCAGAGGCUUCCCAGAUCCUUUCCUGCCUGUCUGAUAUGGUCUACUGCUCGGUUUGCGCCUGUAUGCAGACACAGCACAAGGUUGAAAUGGACAAGAGGGAUGGGAAGUUCGGGCCACAGCCCAUGCAAGUGCCUCCAAUGCAGCAGAUGUCACGCAUCGAUCAGCCUGUCCCUCCACCCGCUGGCUAUGCACCACAACCAGCAUACGGCCAGCCUUAUGGUGCCUACCCACCUCCUCCAGCUCAGGGUUACCCACCGCCGCCAGCUCAAGGCUACCCACCGGCAGGUUACCCGCCAGCAGGUUACCCCCAGGCCCAGGGCAGUUCAUACCCUCCACCCGGUUCGUAUCCCCCACCUGGUUCCUACCCCCCUCAGCAGGGCUACUACGGAAAGUAA
Molecule: ribosomal RNA, 831 nt
Filed under: Triticum aestivum (bread wheat)
Lineage: Eukaryota; Viridiplantae; Streptophyta; Magnoliopsida; Poales; Poaceae
Description: partial small subunit ribosomal RNA
Source: RNAcentral